UCAGGAUGAACGCUAGCGACAGGCCUAACACAUGCAAGUCAGGGGCAGCACAAGGAGCAAUCUGAGGUGGCGACCGGCGCACGGGUGAGUAACACGUAUGCAACCUGCCUGUAAGCGGGGAAUAACCCGUUGAAAGACGGACUAAUACCGCAUAAUACUAAAUUACUGCAUGGUAAUUUAUUUAAACAUUUAUGGCUUACAGAUGGGCAUGCGCAUGAUUAGCUAGUUGGAGAGGUAACGGCUCCCCAAGGCAACGAUCAUUAGGGGUUCUGAGAGGAAGGUCCCCCACACUGGUACUGAGACACGGACCAGACUCCUACGGGAGGCAGCAGUGAGGAAUAUUGGUCAAUGGACGAGAGUCUGAACCAGCCAAGUCGCGUGCAGGAAGAAUUGUCCUAUGGAUUGUAAACUGCUUUUGCAGGGGAAUAAAGUGCAUCACGUGUGAUGUUUUGUAUGUACUCUGCGAAUAAGGAUCGGCUAACUCCGUGCCAGCCGCGGC
RNAcentral lists this ribosomal RNA (499 nucleotides) under uncultured bacterium. RNAcentral describes it as "bacterial SSU rRNA". It matches the Rfam family "Bacterial small subunit ribosomal RNA", at positions 24 to 518 of the family's 1533-position model. The record is from RNAcentral.